RNAcentral lists this long non-coding RNA (519 nucleotides) under Capsella rubella. RNAcentral's name for it is "long non-coding RNA (CRUB_LNC003247)". The record is from RNAcentral. Lineage: Eukaryota; Viridiplantae; Streptophyta; Magnoliopsida; Brassicales; Brassicaceae.
CGAGUAGUACUCCGCUAACAUGUUGCUAUCUGCAAAAGCGGUAACGGUGUUUUAUAAUAGUUAGCUUAACCACGGUAAGUUUUACUUUAUAAGGUACGGUCUUUUAUACCCGGUAACUUACAAAUUAGCGGAUAAGGGCGUUUUAAUCGGUAACAUAUAACAUAGCGAGAAUACUACCAAAAAUUUAUACCUAUUACGUAGUCUGGAUCUGGAUCCGUAGACAUGUCCUCCGACGAGAAAGACACGUUAGCCGAGUUUGGACUUGGUGUCCGGAACAUUGAAUCCGACGAGGAAAUGGUUAUGACGUUACUCUCGCUAGCUUCCCCGAUCCCACCCGAGAUGCCUAGGUUGACGCCUUUUGGGCUACUUGGAUUGUUGCUCACGCCAAAAUCUAACUGCCUUGCCGUCUUAACCCCGUAUUCGUCUGCACCGGUUUGGCUAUUUCCAAGGGAAAUUUGAGUCGCACAGACCUCUUUCCACAUUUCUGCUCGGUACUGCUUCUUGAAAACAUGGUAGUCU